GGGCGAUUAGUGGCGAACGGGUGAGUAACACGUGAGUAACCUGCCCCCGACUCUGGGAUAAGCCCGGGAAACUGGGUCUAAUACCGGAUAUUCUCUCUCCGCCGCAUGGCGGGGGGUGGAAAGCGGUUUAGCGGUCGGGGAUGGACUCGCGGCCUAUCAGCUUGUUGGCGGGGUAACGGCCCACCAAGGCGACGACGGGUAGCCGGCCUGAGAGGGUGACCGGCCACACUGGGACUGAGACACGGCCCAGACUCCUACGGGAGGCAGCAGUGGGGAAUAUUGCACAAUGGGCGAAAGCCUGAUGCAGCGACGCCGCGUGAGGGAUGACGGCCUUCGGGUUGUAAACCUCUUUCAGUAGGGAAGAAGCGAAAGUGACGGUACCUGCAGAAGAAGCGCCGGCUAACUACGUGCCAGCAGCCGCGGUAAUACGUAGGGCGCAAGCGUUAUCCGGAAUUAUUGGGCCGUAAAGAGCUCGUAGGCGGUUUG
This 486-nucleotide ribosomal RNA is filed under the name Arthrobacter sp. AM7T. RNAcentral describes it as "bacterial SSU rRNA". It matches the Rfam family "Bacterial small subunit ribosomal RNA", at positions 86 to 582 of the family's 1533-position model. Lineage: Bacteria; Bacillati; Actinomycetota; Actinomycetes; Micrococcales; Micrococcaceae. The record is from RNAcentral.